CUCCAACAACUACGUCUGAUAGACGGCCUUUUGUACACUUUGGCUUUUUGAAGCAUGACGGCUACCGUAGCUGAAAUACUGCUUGGAGAGAGAGAGACUU
This is a long non-coding RNA of Etheostoma cragini (Arkansas darter), 100 nucleotides long. RefSeq lists it as uncharacterized. NCBI's taxonomy places the organism in Eukaryota, Metazoa, Chordata, Actinopteri, Perciformes, Percidae. The transcript has 4 exons. The record is from RefSeq and is a predicted model, not a curated record.